AACUUUUAUAUGUGCUUUGAAAGCACUAAAUAGACAAUGUCUAAAAGUUU
RNAcentral lists this transfer RNA (50 nucleotides) under Metacrangonyx repens. Its description in RNAcentral is "transfer RNA Serine". The record is from RNAcentral. Lineage: Eukaryota; Metazoa; Arthropoda; Malacostraca; Amphipoda; Metacrangonyctidae.